This 253-nucleotide ribosomal RNA is filed under the name uncultured bacterium. RNAcentral describes it as "partial 16S ribosomal RNA". It matches the Rfam family "Bacterial small subunit ribosomal RNA", at positions 524 to 776 of the family's 1533-position model. The record is from RNAcentral.
UACAGAGGUCCCAAGCGUUGUUCGGAUUCAUUGGGCGUAAAGGGUGCGUAGGCGGCGCGGUAAGUCGGGUGUGAAAUCUCGGGGCUUAACUCCGAAACUGCAUUCGAUACUGCCGUGCUUGAGGACUGGAGAGGAGACUGGAAUUUACGGUGUAGCGGUGAAAUGCGUAGAUAUCGUAAGGAAGACCAGUGGCGAAGGCGGGUCUCUGGACAGUUCCUGACGCUGAGGCACGAAAGCUAGGGUAGCGAACGGG